GCCUACGGGAGGCAGCAGUGGGGAAUUUUGGACAAUGGGCGAAAGCCUGAUCCAGCAAUGCCGCGUGUGUGAAGAAGGCCUUCGGGUUGUAAAGCACUUUUGUGCGGGAAGAUAAUGACGGUACCGCAAGAAUAAGCCCCGGCUAACUCUGUGCCAGCAGCCGCGGUC
This 168-nucleotide ribosomal RNA is filed under the name uncultured Rhodopseudomonas sp. RNAcentral's name for it is "partial 16S ribosomal RNA". It matches the Rfam family "Bacterial small subunit ribosomal RNA", at positions 337 to 522 of the family's 1533-position model. The record is from RNAcentral. Lineage: Bacteria; Pseudomonadati; Pseudomonadota; Alphaproteobacteria; Hyphomicrobiales; Nitrobacteraceae.